This is a long non-coding RNA of Oncorhynchus masou masou (cherry salmon), 218 nucleotides long. RefSeq lists it as uncharacterized. The transcript has 3 exons. The record is from RefSeq and is a predicted model, not a curated record. Lineage: Eukaryota; Metazoa; Chordata; Actinopteri; Salmoniformes; Salmonidae.
GCCCAAUGCGUGCGGUGGCACCUGCUCUGUGUGUAAAGAUGGAUUCUUCAACCUGCAGAGUGACAGCUUCUUCGGCUGUCAAGGUUGUCAGUGCGACAUUGGAGGAUCAGCGGGACAGUCCUGUGGGGAGAGGAACGGGAGAUGUCGCUGCAGACCCAACGUGGAGGGACCCAAGUGUAACAGGCCUCGUCCAGACCACUACUUUCCAGACCUGCACC